GCUGGGCAUGAUAGCACGUGCCUGUAAUCCCAGCAGCUCAGGAGGCCGAGGCAGGAGGAUCUCAAGUUCAAAGCCAGCCUCAGCAACUCAGUGAAACUCUGUCUCUA
This 107-nucleotide small RNA is filed under the name Marmota monax (woodchuck). Lineage: Eukaryota; Metazoa; Chordata; Mammalia; Rodentia; Sciuridae. The record is from RNAcentral.